UCUCGUCUUUGCGUUCGAUUCGAACCCUAGGCACAUUGAAUCAAUCAUUCGGAGUCUCUCUUGGAUCUUCAAUCAACUUAUACAUACACAGAAGAACAGAGAGAUAGAUAAUAGAGAGGCAGAGAGAGAGAGAGAGAUUGUAAGCUAAUGGCGGAACACUCUGUUUUAGACCAGCUCCUCGAUAGCGCUUUGGAUGAUUUCCAAAAUCUCCAAUCUUACUUCUUCUGUUCAAACUCAAAGGAGUGGAGAUGGCGAAAUGAAGAAACAUGAGAGUUGUAUUAUGCCUAGUAGUGAGGUUCAAGGCUUGGGUAUGGGUUUGCCUGACUUGAGAAGUAAGAAAAAGGGCAAGCAAAAGGUUUCCAAAGAAUCUCAUGUUUUGGAAGCUCUUGAUAAGCUUAGAGAGCAGACUAGGGAGGCUGUCAGGGGACUCGAGUUUGUCACGGGCUCGAAACCCCUUGCAGACGAUUUCGGAAAGGAUCCAAUGAUGGAGGAUUAGGUUAAGCAGUUUGAGGAGCUUGCUGGGUCUCAGAUCAAAUUCAUUUUGAGGUGUGGGUCAUAUGACAUGAGAUUUAAAUCUUUGCCACAUAUUGCCGCAUAAACACUUCGACAUUUUGAUCAAGAGGAGUGGGGAUGAUGAUUUAUUCAAUUGGUAGUGUUUCUUCGGUAUCAAUGCAUCAAGGACGAUGAUUUAAUUGGUAGUGACGAUGAUUUAAUCCCACUUGAAAAGCAAAACCUUCCAGUGUGCAAACAUGCAGAACAUUGAUUAUCCUUUCUGGGGAGGCAACAGACCAGACUACUGUGGUCAUCCGGGCUUCCGACGCGCAGAAUCUGACUCUGUUUUUUGGCUGUAGCCAAAUUCCAGUUCUACAACUGGACAGUUCUAGGCAGUUCAACUACAGUGUUA
Long non-coding RNA from Camellia sinensis, 904 nucleotides. RefSeq lists it as uncharacterized. The record is from RefSeq and is a predicted model, not a curated record. Lineage: Eukaryota; Viridiplantae; Streptophyta; Magnoliopsida; Ericales; Theaceae.